AUUGAACGCUGGCGGCAUGCUUUACACAUGCAAGUCGAACGGUAACAGGUUAAGCUGACGAGUGGCGAACGGGUGAGUAAUGCAUCGGAACGUGCCCGGUCGUGGGGGAUAACGCAGCGAAAGCUGCGCUAAUACCGCAUACGAUCUGAGGAUGAAAGCGGGGGACCGUAAGGCCUCGCGCGAUCGGAGCGGCCGAUGUCAGAUUAGGUAGUUGGUGGGGUAAAGGCUCACCAAGCCAACGAUCUGUAGCUGGUCUGAGAGGACGACCAGCCACACUGGGACUGAGACACGGCCCAGACUCCUACGGGAGGCAGCAGUGGGGAAUUUUGGACAAUGGGCGAAAGCCUGAUCCGGCAAUGCCGCGUGCAGGAAGAAGGUCUUCGGGUUGUAAACUGCUUUUGUACGGAGCGAAAAGGUCUCCUCUAAUACAGGGGGCUCAUGACGGUACCGUAAGAAUAAGCACCGGCUAACUACGUGCCAGCAGCCGCAGUAA
RNAcentral lists this ribosomal RNA (493 nucleotides) under uncultured bacterium. RNAcentral's name for it is "partial 16S ribosomal RNA". It matches the Rfam family "Bacterial small subunit ribosomal RNA", at positions 30 to 523 of the family's 1533-position model. The record is from RNAcentral.